GACGAACGCUGGCGGCGUGCUUAACACAUGCAAGUCGAACGGAAAGGCCCUGCUUUUGUGGGGUGCUCGAGUGGCGAACGGGUGAGUAACACGUGAGUAACCUGCCCUUGACUUUGGGAUAACUUCAGGAAACUGGGGCUAAUACCGGAUAGGAGCUCCUGCUGCAUGGUGGGGGUUGGAAAGUUUCGGCGGUUGGGGAUGGACUCGCGGCUUAUCAGCUUGUUGGUGGGGUAGUGGCUUACCAAGGCUUUGACGGGUAGCCGGCCUGAGAGGGUGACCGGCCACAUUGGGACUGAGAUACGGCCCAGACUCCUACGGGAGGCAGCAGUGGGGAAUAUUGCACAAUGGGCGGAAGCCUGAUGCAGCAACGCCGCGUGCGGGAUGACGGCCUUCGGGUUGUAAACCGCUUUCACCUGCGACGAAGCGUGAGUGACGGUAAUGGGUAAAGAAGCACCGGCUAACUACGUG
Molecule: ribosomal RNA, 468 nt
Filed under: uncultured bacterium
Lineage: Bacteria
Description: partial 16S ribosomal RNA
Rfam family: Bacterial small subunit ribosomal RNA
Source: RNAcentral